AAUUUAUUGGGAAAUGAGACUUUCAUUAAGGGAACUGGAAUUGAGUUUGUUGAAGAGUACAAGUAUCUGGGAACCGUCAUCGAUAAAAACCUGAAGUUUGAUGUGAAUUGUGAUGCAGUCUGUAAGAAGGGACAGCAACGUUUGUACUUCCUUAGGAAGUUAAACACUUUUAAUGUAGAUAGGAAAAUGAUGUCCUUAUUUUAUAAGUCUUUUAUUGAAUCAGUUCUUAUGUUUGCCAUGACUGCUUGGUACGGUAACCUGAAUAUCAGGGAAAAAAGCCACCUCAGCCAUAUUGUAAAGGUGGCUGGUAAGGUGAUUUUCCACAGUCCCCCUUGAUGGUUAUCUUUGACCAGCAAGUUCUUCGCAAGGCCCGGUCUAUACUAGUUUGCACAAACCACCCCCUUCACUCUGAGUUUGUAAUACUCUCCUCAGGUCGCAGAUUUAGAGUACCUCGGUUCAAGACCAAUAGGGGUAAAAACUCCUUUGUCCCAUGUGCAAUAACUCAGCUUAAUUUGCACAUGUAAUGUAGUACUUUGUUUUGUUUUUAGAGAUUGUUCCAGUGGUGAUAAAUUGUGUUGUGUGUAUUACAUACAGGAAACCUUUUUUGUACUCA
Molecule: long non-coding RNA, 613 nt
Organism: Sander lucioperca (pikeperch)
Lineage: Eukaryota; Metazoa; Chordata; Actinopteri; Perciformes; Percidae
Exons: 3
Source: RefSeq, a predicted model, not a curated record